This 230-nucleotide ribosomal RNA is filed under the name uncultured bacterium. RNAcentral's name for it is "partial 16S ribosomal RNA". It matches the Rfam family "Bacterial small subunit ribosomal RNA", at positions 562 to 791 of the family's 1533-position model. The record is from RNAcentral.
AAAGCGCGCGUAGGUGGUUUGUUAAGUUGGAUGUGAAAUCCCCGGGCUCAACCUGGGAACUGCAUUCAAAACUGACUGACUAGAGUAAGGUAGAGGGUGGUGGAAUUUCCUGUGUAGCGGUGAAAUGCGUAGAUAUAGGAAGGAACACCAGUGGCGAAGGCGACCACCUGGACUAAUACUGACACUGAGGUGCGAAAGCGUGGGGAGCAAACAGGAUUAGAUACCCCAGU